Molecule: ribosomal RNA, 252 nt
Filed under: uncultured bacterium
Lineage: Bacteria
Description: partial 16S ribosomal RNA
Rfam family: Bacterial small subunit ribosomal RNA
Source: RNAcentral
UACGUAGGGGGCGAGCGUUGUCCGGAUUUACUGGGCGUAAAGAGCGCGCAGGCGGUCGUUCAAGUCGAGUGUGAAAGCCCCCGGCUCAACUGGGGAGGGUCACUCGAUACUGAUCGACUCGAAGGCAGAAGAGGGAAGCGGAAUUCCCGGUGUAGUGGUGAAAUGCGUAGAUAUCAGAAGGAACAUCAGGGGCGAAAGCGACUUCCUGGACCAGAACGGACGAUCAGGCACGAAAGCGUGGGGAGCAAACAG